RNAcentral lists this ribosomal RNA (268 nucleotides) under uncultured Limnohabitans sp. RNAcentral's name for it is "partial 16S ribosomal RNA". It matches the Rfam family "Bacterial small subunit ribosomal RNA", at positions 1 to 278 of the family's 1533-position model. Lineage: Bacteria; Pseudomonadati; Pseudomonadota; Betaproteobacteria; Burkholderiales; Comamonadaceae. The record is from RNAcentral.
UCGAGAGUUUGAUCCUGGCUCAGAUUGAACGGUGGCGGAAUGCUUUACACAUGCAAGUCGAACGGUAGAGGGGGCAACCCCUCGAGAGUGGCGAACGGGUGAGUAAUAUAUCGGAACGUGCCCAGUCGUGGGGGAUAACGUAGCGAAAGUUACGCUAAUACCGCAUACGAUCUACGGAUGAAAGCGGGGGACUCGCAAGACCUCGCGCGAUUGGAGCGGCCGAUAUCAGAUUAGCUAGUUGGUGGGGUAAAGGCUCACCAAGCCAACG